UUAAUUUUAGCUGUGUUAGAGCCUAGAAUUAGUGGUGGUAAGGUAGAUUUGCAGAUUAGAAAACUUAAAUCUCCUCGGUUUCACAGGGUGAAAGAUGCAAGGUUUUCUAAUGGUUUGUGGAUUUUUUGAAAGCAAAAUUGAGAUGUGGCUACUGUUGAAAGAUUGUAUAGUUUGUUCAUAUGUUAGUUUUGGAAUCCGCUAGCAUGUUAAUGGAUUUCACUACGGUUUAUCAUCAUCCUGCACUAAAUAGACGGGCUUCCUUCUAGAACGGUCUUGAUCAAUUACGAGCUAGUAUUUUAGCUUCUUGGGUUUCUGCCAGUGUUUUCAAUGCUUUGCUUAGUCCUGCAGAGUGAAGAGGUGGUUCCCUUUGCCACUUAGAGUUUGUAAAAUUUAUUUAUCUUGGUUUCAUUGGUCUGGUGCUAUUGAUAAGGAAUUUCAACAUCCUUAAUUUACCUGUUCUUGGGGUAUGUUGCAUGAAAGGUUGUAUAAGGCUAAAUGUGAUUCAAACUGGACGUUGAACUUCUCGGAGGCUUCUAUUCGCCACCUUCUACAUCUUUAGUCAAUUCAUAGGCCUUUACUACUAGUGUUGAAUAGCUUUAUUGCUCCUGCAGACAAAGUAUGCCCAUUUUCGGUUUUAGAAAGCUUGGCUAACUUGUGUUGGUUUUAAUCAGUUUGUGUCAAACUCUUGGUGCAGUAAUCAUUCUUUCAUGUCUAUUGUCUCUGGCUUCUUAGAUAAAUUGCAAG
This 744-nucleotide unclassified non-coding RNA is filed under the name Hevea brasiliensis (rubber tree). Lineage: Eukaryota; Viridiplantae; Streptophyta; Magnoliopsida; Malpighiales; Euphorbiaceae. The record is from RNAcentral.